GCGGCCGUAACUAUAACGGUCCUAAGGUAGCGAAAUUCCUUGUCGGGUAAGUUCCGACCUGCACGAAUGGCGUAAUGAUGGCCAGGCUGUCUCCACCCGAGACUCAGUGAAAUUGAACUCGCUGUGAAGAUGCAGUGUACCCGCGGCAAGACGGAAAGACCCCGUGAACCUUUACUAUAGCUUGACACUGAACAUUGAGCCUUGAUGUGUAGGAUAGGUGGGAGGCUUUGAAGUGUGG
Molecule: ribosomal RNA, 238 nt
Filed under: Escherichia coli
Lineage: Bacteria; Pseudomonadati; Pseudomonadota; Gammaproteobacteria; Enterobacterales; Enterobacteriaceae
Description: partial 23S ribosomal RNA
Rfam family: Bacterial large subunit ribosomal RNA
Source: RNAcentral